AGCAGUCGCCACGGUAAUACGGAGGGUGCAAGCGUUAAUCGGAAUUACUGGGCGUAAAGCGCACGCAGGCGGUCUGUCAAGUCAGAUGUGAAAUCCCCGGGCUUAACCUGGGAACUGCAUUUGAAACUGGCAGGCUAGAGUCUUGUAGAGGGGGGUAGAAUUCCAGGUGUAGCGGUGAAAUGCGUAGAGAUCUGGAGGAAUACCGGUGGCGAAGGCGGCCCCCUGGACAAAGACUGACGCUCAGGUGCGAAAGCGUGGGGAGCAAACAGGAUUAGAUACCCGAGUAGUCCCUGUCUCUUAUAC
Molecule: ribosomal RNA, 303 nt
Filed under: uncultured bacterium
Lineage: Bacteria
Description: partial 16S ribosomal RNA
Rfam family: Bacterial small subunit ribosomal RNA
Source: RNAcentral